GAAGCUGGCCAGACAGCCACUGCGUAUCCUCGGAUACGGAGAGGAAAGUCCGGGCUCCAAAGGGUAGGGUGACGGUUAACGACCGUCCGCCGUGAGGCGAGGAACAGGGCCACAGAGACGAGUCUUGGCGCGCAAGCGCCAAGGGUGAAACGCGGCAACCUCCACCCGGAGCAACACCAAGUAGGCAAGCGACGACGCGACCCGCCGAGCUUGCGGGUAGGUGGCUUGAGCCUUGGAGCAAUUCAAGGCCUAGAGGAAUGGCUGUCAGGGGCUGCCAAGCUCCGCACAGAACCCGGCUUAUCGGCCAGCUUCUUCU
RNAcentral lists this RNase P RNA (316 nucleotides) under Betaproteobacteria bacterium. Its description in RNAcentral is "RNase P RNA component class A". It matches the Rfam family "Bacterial RNase P class A". From Rfam's summary of the family: Ribonuclease P (RNase P) is a ubiquitous endoribonuclease, found in archaea, bacteria and eukarya as well as chloroplasts and mitochondria. Its best characterised activity is the generation of mature 5'-ends of tRNAs by cleaving the 5'-leader elements of precursor-tRNAs. The record is from RNAcentral. Lineage: Bacteria; Pseudomonadati; Pseudomonadota; Betaproteobacteria.